Molecule: ribosomal RNA, 761 nt
Filed under: Prevotella melaninogenica
Lineage: Bacteria; Pseudomonadati; Bacteroidota; Bacteroidia; Bacteroidales; Prevotellaceae
Description: bacterial SSU rRNA
Rfam family: Bacterial small subunit ribosomal RNA
Source: RNAcentral
GAUGAACGCUAGCUACAGGCUUAACACAUGCAAGUCGAGGGGAAACGGCAUUUAGUGCUUGCACUGAAUGGACGUCGACCGGCGCACGGGUGAGUAACGCGUAUCCAACCUUCCCAUUACUGUGGGAUAACCUGCCGAAAGGCAGACUAAUACCGCAUAGUCUUCGAUGACGGCAUCAGAUUUGAAGUAAAGAUUUAUCGGUAAUGGAUGGGGAUGCGUCUGAUUAGCUUGUUGGCGGGGUAACGGCCCACCAAGGCAACGAUCAGUAGGGGUUCUGAGAGGAAGGUCCCCCACAUUGGAACUGAGACACGGUCCAAACUCCUACGGGAGGCAGCAGUGAGGAAUAUUGGUCAAUGGACGAGAGUCUGAACCAGCCAAGUAGCGUGCAGGAUGACGGCCCUAUGGGUUGUAAACUGCUUUUGUAUGGGGAUAAAGUCAAUCACGUGUGAUUGUUUGCAGGUACCAUACGAAUAAGGACCGGCUAAUUCCGUGCCAGCAGCCGCGGUAAUACGGAAGGUCCGGGCGUUAUCCGGAUUUAUUGGGUUUAAAGGGAGCGUAGGCCGGAGAUUAAGUGUGUUGUGAAAUGUAGACGCUCAACGUCUGACUUGCAGCGCAUACUGGUUUCCUUGAGUACGCACAACGUUGGCGGAAUUCGUCGUGUAGCGGUGAAAUGCUUAGAUAUGACGAAGAACUCCGAUUGCGAAGGCAGCUGACGGGAGCGCAACUGACGCUUAAGCUCGAAGGUGCGGGUAUCGAACAGG